UACGUAGGGUGCGAGCGUUGUCCGGAAUUAUUGGGCGUAAAGAGCUCGUAGGCGGCUUGUCACGUCUGCUGUGAAAAUCCCGGGGCUCAACCCCGGGCGUGCAGUGGAUACGGGGCUGGCUAGAGGCAGGCAAGGGAGGAACGAAUUCCCGGGUGUAGCGGUGAAAUGCGCAGAUAUCGGGAGGAACACCGGUGGCGAAGGCGGUUCUCUGGGCCUGUACUGACGCUGAGGAGCGAAAG
RNAcentral lists this ribosomal RNA (239 nucleotides) under uncultured bacterium. Its description in RNAcentral is "partial 16S ribosomal RNA". It matches the Rfam family "Bacterial small subunit ribosomal RNA", at positions 524 to 759 of the family's 1533-position model. The record is from RNAcentral.